GUGCUGGAAGGUUAAAAGGAGGACUUAGCUUCGGCGAAGGUCUUAAUUGAAGCCCCAGUGAACGGCGGCCGUAACUAUAACGGUCCUAAGGUAGCGAAAUUCCUUGUCGGGUAAGUUCCGACCCGCAUGAAAGGCGUAAUGAUUUGGGCGCUGUCUCAACAAUAGACUCGGUGAAAUUUAAAUUCCAGUGAAGAUGCUGGGUACCCGCGACAGGACGGAAAGACCCCGUGGAGCUUUACUGUAGCUUGAUAUUGAAUGUUUGUGCUGCAUGUGCAGGAUAGGUAGGAGACUUUGAAGUCGGAACGCUAGUUUCGAUUGAGUCACCCUUGAGAUACUACCCCUGUUGUAUGAACGUUCUAACUCUGAUCAGUUAUCCUGAUCGAAGACAGUGUCUGGCAGGCAGUUUGACUGGGGCGGUCGCCUCCUAAAAGAUAACGGAGGCGCUCAAAGGUUUGCUCAGAAUGGUUGGAAAUCAUUCGUAGCGUGUAAAGGCAUAAGCAAGCUUGACUGUGAGACUGACAAGUCGAGCAGGUACGAAAGUAGGACUUAGUGAUCCGGUGGUUCCGUAUGGAAGGGCCAUCGCUCAACGGACAAAAGCUACCCCGGGGAUAACAGGCUCAUCUCCCCCAAGAGUCCACAUCGACGGGGAGGUUUGGCACCUCGAUGUCGGCUCAUCGCAUCCUGGGGCUGUAGUCGGUCCCAAGGGUUGGGCUGUUCGCCCAUUAAAGCGGUACGCGAGCUGGGUUCAGAACGUCGUGAGACAGUUCGGUCCCUAUCCGUCGUGGGCGCAGGAAAUUUGAGAGGAUCUGUCCUUAGUACGAGAGGACCGGGAUGGACAUACCUCUGGUGUACCAGUUGUUCUGCCAAGAGCACCGCUGGGUAGCUACGUAUGGAUUAGAUAAUCGCUGAAAGCAUCUAAGUGAGAAACUAACCUCGAGAUGAGAUUUCCCAUUCGUCAGAAGUAAGACCCCUGAGAGACGAUCAGGUAGAUAGGCUAGAAGUGGAAGUGUAGUGAUGCAUGGAGCGGACUAGUACUAAUAGGUCGAGGACUUAACCAAG
Molecule: ribosomal RNA, 1059 nt
Filed under: Oenococcus oeni
Lineage: Bacteria; Bacillati; Bacillota; Bacilli; Lactobacillales; Lactobacillaceae
Description: bacterial LSU rRNA
Rfam family: Bacterial large subunit ribosomal RNA
Source: RNAcentral